GAGGUGCUUGCACCUCUUGAGAGCGGCGGACGGGUGAGUAAUGCCUAGGAAUCUGCCUGGUAGUGGGGGAUAACGCUCGGAAACGGACGCUAAUACCGCAUACGUCCUACGGGAGAAAGCAGGGGACCUUCGGGCCUUGCGCUAUCAGAUGAGCCUAGGUCGGAUUAGCUAGUUGGUGAGGUAAUGGCUCACCAAGGCGACGAUCCGUAACUGGUCUGAGAGGAUGAUCAGUCACACUGGAACUGAGACACGGUCCAGACUCCUACGGGAGGCAGCAGUGGGGAAUAUUGGACAAUGGGCGAAAGCCUGAUCCAGCCAUG
RNAcentral lists this ribosomal RNA (320 nucleotides) under Pseudomonas fluorescens. RNAcentral's name for it is "bacterial SSU rRNA". It matches the Rfam family "Bacterial small subunit ribosomal RNA", at positions 73 to 396 of the family's 1533-position model. The record is from RNAcentral. Lineage: Bacteria; Pseudomonadati; Pseudomonadota; Gammaproteobacteria; Pseudomonadales; Pseudomonadaceae.